UAGGGAAUCUUCCACAAUGGACGAAAGUCUGAUGGAGCAACGCCGCGUGAGUGAAGAAGGGUUUCGGCUCGUAAAACUCUGUUGUUAAAGAAGAAUGACAUUGAGAGUAACUGUUCAAUGUGUGACGGUAUCUUACCAGAAAGGAACGGCUAAAUACGUGCCAG
This 164-nucleotide ribosomal RNA is filed under the name uncultured bacterium. RNAcentral's name for it is "partial 16S ribosomal RNA". It matches the Rfam family "Bacterial small subunit ribosomal RNA", at positions 355 to 511 of the family's 1533-position model. The record is from RNAcentral.